RNAcentral lists this ribosomal RNA (253 nucleotides) under uncultured bacterium. RNAcentral's name for it is "partial 16S ribosomal RNA". It matches the Rfam family "Bacterial small subunit ribosomal RNA", at positions 524 to 776 of the family's 1533-position model. The record is from RNAcentral.
UACGAAGGGGACUAGCGUUGUUCGGAAUCACUGGGCGUAAAGCGCACGUAGGCGGCUUUGUAAGUCAGGGGUGAAAUCCCGGGGCUCAACCUCGGAACUGCCUUUGAUACUGCGAAUCUAGAGUCCGAUAGAGGUGGGUGGAAUUCCUAGUGUAGAGGUGAAAUUCGUAGAUAUUAGGAAGAACACCGGUGGCGAAGGCGGCCCACUGGAUCGGUACUGACGCUGAGGUGCGAAAGCGUGGGGAGCAAACAGG